RNAcentral lists this ribosomal RNA (509 nucleotides) under uncultured bacterium. Its description in RNAcentral is "bacterial SSU rRNA". It matches the Rfam family "Bacterial small subunit ribosomal RNA", at positions 94 to 587 of the family's 1533-position model. The record is from RNAcentral.
AGCGGCGGAUGGGUGAGUAACACGUGGGGAACCUGCCCCAUAGUCUGGGAUACCACUUGGAAACAGGUGCUAAUACCGGAUAAGAAAGCAGAUCGCAUGAUCAGCUUUUAAAAGGCGGCGUAAGCUGUCGCUAUGGGAUGGCCCCGCGGUGCAUUAGCUAGUUGGUAAGGUAAAGGCUUACCAAGGCGAUGAUGCAUAGCCGAGUUGAGAGACUGAUCGGCCACAUUGGGACUGAGACACGGCCCAAACUCCUACGGGAGGCAGCAGUAGGGAAUCUUCCACAAUGGACGCAAGUCUGAUGGAGCAACGCCGCGUGAGUGAAGAAGGUUUUCGGAUCGUAAAGCUCUGUUGUUGGUGAAGAAGGAUAGAGGUAGUAACUGGCCUUUAUUUGACGGUAAUCAACCAGAAAGUCACGGCUAACUACGUGCCAGCCAGCCGCGGUAAUACGUAGGUGGCAAGCGUUGUCCGGAUUUAAUUGGGCGUAAAGCGAGCGCAGGCUGAAAGAAUAA